GAAAUGCGAUAAGUAAUGUGAAUUGCAGAAUUCCGUGAAUCAUCGAAUCUUUGAACGCACAUUGCGCCCUCUGGCAUUCCGGGGGGCAUGCCUGUCCGAGCGUCAUUACGCACCCUCAAGCCCGGCUUGUGUGAUGGGCCCUGGCGUCUCGUUCGCGAGACGGGCCCGAAAGGCAGCGGCGGCGUCGACCCGUUGAGCCCGAGCGUAUGGGGACUUUUGUCACACGUUUGCGGUGCGGACCGGCGCCUGCUUGACUUUUCUGAUUAUCCAGGUUGACCUCGGAUCAGGUAGGGAUACCCGCUGAACUUAAGC
Molecule: unclassified non-coding RNA, 312 nt
Filed under: plant metagenome
Description: partial contains 5.8S ribosomal RNA, internal transcribed spacer 2, and large subunit ribosomal RNA
Rfam family: 5.8S ribosomal RNA (bases 1-105)
Source: RNAcentral